This 253-nucleotide ribosomal RNA is filed under the name uncultured bacterium. RNAcentral describes it as "partial 16S ribosomal RNA". It matches the Rfam family "Bacterial small subunit ribosomal RNA", at positions 524 to 776 of the family's 1533-position model. The record is from RNAcentral.
UACGAAGGGGGCUAGCGUUGUUCGGAAUUACUGGGCGUAAAGGGCGCGCAGGCGGCCUUAGAAGUCAGAUGUGAAAGCCCCGGGCUCAACCUGGGAAUGGCAUUUGAUACUCUGAGGCUGGAGUACGGGAGAGGAGAGUGGAAUUCCCAGUGUAGAGGUGAAAUUCGUAGAUAUUGGGAAGAACACCGGUGGCGAAGGCGGCUCUCUGGACCGUAACUGACGCUGAGGCGCGAAAGCGUGGGGAGCAAACAGG